This is a long non-coding RNA of Hordeum vulgare subsp. vulgare (domesticated barley), 656 nucleotides long. RefSeq lists it as uncharacterized. Lineage: Eukaryota; Viridiplantae; Streptophyta; Magnoliopsida; Poales; Poaceae. The transcript is spliced from 2 exons. The record is from RefSeq and is a predicted model, not a curated record.
UUGCACUCCAGCACGCGCGCUCGGUAAAUAAAUAAGUUUAUCAUCACCAGUGCGUUCCACGCUACUAACUAACCCAUAAUUUCAUCCCGUGAUGACAGCGACGAGUCGCCGUCGCGCGCCAGUAAUGGCACUGUUGAAAACCAUUCCCGGCGAGGUGGUGCUGAUCGGCGAUAUGAUCGACACCUGGGCCUUAUCCGCCGGAGGCAGGCAGAAACGCGGCGGGGCCCGAAGGACGGACCCACCCCUACGGGCAAUUAUAUAUACGAACCUGCAUAUCCCGUUGCGGUAUGUGCGUAGGCGGCAGAGAUUGCUAGCCCACAAGUUUCUCUUCCCCGAUUGGGCGGUGCCGACGGCGACACGGCACGACGGAAUCGAAAAGUCACAGCCUGAAAGCUGCCUCUCGGGACAAGGAUGCCUGCUCCUUCGGGCUCUCGUUUUUAGUCUUGUUUUUUUCCCGAUCGCUCCGUGCCGUCCAACCAGAUAUGGAUGCCAGAUCAGCUGGCUGAGCUGGGGAGCUGGACGAGACGGCUGACAGACCAAGACUCAGAUGCCUUUUUUGUUUCUAAAAAAUCAAGAUUUGUAUAUUUCCUCUUGCCGUGGAAAGGCGAACGGGAGGAGGGAUUUCUUUUUACAAGAUGUGCUCUGCGAUUUUUUUG